AGACUAGUGCCUGAUAAAAAGGAUUAUCUUGAUAGGGUAAAUAAUGUAGUUUGCUACCUAGUCUA
This 65-nucleotide transfer RNA is filed under the name Diaphanosoma dubium. Its description in RNAcentral is "tRNA-Ile". The record is from RNAcentral. Lineage: Eukaryota; Metazoa; Arthropoda; Branchiopoda; Diplostraca; Sididae.